This 249-nucleotide long non-coding RNA is filed under the name Solanum lycopersicum (tomato). RNAcentral's name for it is "partial TCONS_00177556". Lineage: Eukaryota; Viridiplantae; Streptophyta; Magnoliopsida; Solanales; Solanaceae. The record is from RNAcentral.
UACGGGUGCUGGAGCCUCCUCAACGGGUGCUGCAGCAACCGGUUCCUCAGCUGCGGCUGCAGGUUCUUCUGCAGCCACAGGUUCUUCAACUGGAGCUGCAACAGGUUCUGCUGCAACUGCCACUGGCUCUUCUGAUUCUGCGGCUACAGGGGCUGCUACUUCCUCCGCAGCAGGAGCAGCCUCUUCUGGUGCUGGUGCUGAUUCGACCUCAACAUCCUUUUCUACAGCGGGGGCUGGUUCCUCCGCCUG